This 265-nucleotide long non-coding RNA is filed under the name Elaeis guineensis (African oil palm). RNAcentral describes it as "long non-coding RNA (EGUI_LNC057046)". Lineage: Eukaryota; Viridiplantae; Streptophyta; Magnoliopsida; Arecales; Arecaceae. The record is from RNAcentral.
CCACGCUUGUUUCUCUCUUUCCAGGGCCUCUUGGAGGGCAACUACUUCGGCCGUCUUUUCUUUGAGGCGAGCAACCUCGGCCUGGCAGCGCUCCUCCACCUGGACGAUGUUCCUCCUCGCAUGAUUCGUUGCCUCGAUAUUGGCGAGGAGCUGGUGCCCAAUCUACAAGGACGGCUAGGGGAUCAGAACAAGGGCCGAAUAGUCGGGUAAAUGAAGAUUUGCUUACCUCAAGGAAGGACCCUAAAGAGUCCCAGACCCGCUGCUC